GACGAACGCUGGCGGCGUGCUUAACACAUGCAAGUCGAGCGGUAAGGCCCUUUCGGGGGUACACGAGCGGCGAACGGGUGAGUAACACGUGGGUGACCUGCCCUCAGCUCUGGGAUAAGCCUGGGAAACUGGGUCUAAUACUGGAUAUGACUCCACGGUGCAUGUCGUGGGGUGGAAAGCCUUGUGCGGCUGAGGAUGGGCCCGNGGCCUAUCAGCUUGUUGGUGGGGUGAUGGCCUACCAAGGCGACGACGGGUAGCCGGCCUGAGAGGGCGACCGGCCACACUGGGACUGAGACACGGCCCAGACUCCUACGGGAGGCAGCAGUGGGGAAUCUUGCGCAAUGCGCGAAAGCGUGACGC
This 360-nucleotide ribosomal RNA is filed under the name uncultured bacterium. Its description in RNAcentral is "bacterial SSU rRNA". It matches the Rfam family "Bacterial small subunit ribosomal RNA", at positions 28 to 389 of the family's 1533-position model. The record is from RNAcentral.